RNAcentral lists this ribosomal RNA (401 nucleotides) under uncultured Elizabethkingia sp. RNAcentral's name for it is "bacterial SSU rRNA". It matches the Rfam family "Bacterial small subunit ribosomal RNA", at positions 505 to 912 of the family's 1533-position model. Lineage: Bacteria; Pseudomonadati; Bacteroidota; Flavobacteriia; Flavobacteriales; Weeksellaceae. The record is from RNAcentral.
GUGCCAGCAGCUGCGGUAAUACGGAGGGUGCAAGCGUUAUCCGGAUUUAUUGGGUUUAAAGGGUCCGUAGGCGGACUGAUAAGUCAGUGGUGAAAUCCGACAGCUUAACUGUCGAACUGCCAUUGAUACUGUCAGUCUUGAGUAAGGUUGAAGUGGCUGGAAUAAGUAGUGUAGCGGUGAAAUGCAUAGAUAUUACUUAGAACACCAAUUGCGAAGGCAGGUCACUAAGUCUUAACUGACGCUGAUGGACGAAAGCGUGGGGAGCGAACAGGAUUAGAUACCCUGGUAGUCCACGCCGUAAACGAUGAUUACUCGUUUUUGGGUUUAGAUUCAGAGACUAAGCGAAAGUGAUAAGUAAUCCACCUGGGAUACGUUCGCAAGAAUGAAACUCAAAGGAAUUG